RNAcentral lists this long non-coding RNA (1836 nucleotides) under Olea europaea subsp. europaea. The record is from RNAcentral. Lineage: Eukaryota; Viridiplantae; Streptophyta; Magnoliopsida; Lamiales; Oleaceae.
CCAAGUUGAUGCCAGAUGAAAUUAGGGGUGGGCAAAAACCAACCCAACCCAUGAAAACCGACCGACCCAAUCCAAACCGACUGGGUUGGGUCGGUUUUUUCCUUUUUUGACGGUUUUUCGGGCUAUGGGUUGAGUAAUCGGUUCGGGUUGGGUCGGGUUGUGGGUUAACAAGGAAAACCCAACCCAACCCGCCCGACCCAACCCGCAUGCUUUAAAAAAAAAAAAAAGGCGGGGGGAACUGACUUAAAAUGAGAGAAAAGACCUAAAUUUCUCACUUUCUCACUCUCGUCUUCAAUCUUCAGCCCCAAAGCCAAGGUGACAUCAAUUGAUCAACCUAUCUCUGCCUCAGACAAACAAAUUGUUCAUCAAUUUCUGUAGAAUCAAAGAGAAAGGUGGCAUUUGAAAUGGAUACAUCAAACCCGGUUGUUGGUUAUACCUCUUUCGACUUUUGUCGAGGUAAAUGGCUGACAGUGAUGAUGAGAAGACAUUCGAGUCCAAGAUUUCAACAUUUUCGGAUAUUAGGGAAAUUACGAUUCGGAGGUCAAAACUAGCAAAAAUCGUUUAUGGAGCCCUUCUUCGAUAAACUGAUUGUUGGUUGUUUCGUGAGAGUUGGAAUUGGGAAGUCGAGGAAUGGGCCUAUCUACAGACUAUAAUUCGCAAUGUUGAUGCCUCGGACCCUGGUAGGCAGUAUAAGCUCGAACAAGUACCUGAAUGUGGGCUGCAGCAAUGAAAGCUCUGCUGCCAGGUGGUAGAUGGCAAUGAUUUCAGAUUCUCAGCUACUCAAAAGAGGAGUUUCAUCGAUGGGUUAGGGGGUAGAACGCAGUGGUGGUCAUAUGCCAAGCAAACAGGGGGUGGUGGAAAAGAGAGAUGCCACACAGAAAACAAGCACGUUUGUCUACUCAGUAGCCACCGUCAAACAAAUGUUUCAGGAGAAAAAAACUGCCACAUGGGUACCAUUAAAUGUGGCUGCCGAAAAAGAUACAACUAGUUACAAUCAAGUUUUCCUACUUGCCAAUGGGGAUUACAAACAUCUCUUUAUUUGAGUUGAGCAGUUAGGAGGAGCAUGGUCUUUGAGAGCUUUAAAGUAUAUCUUUCACAAUCUGCAUCUUUACUUUGAUUAUAUGUGGAUAGAGCUACAAACGUAUUCAUUAGUAUUAGUCAGUUGCAAUUGCUAUAUUUCUGGAAUUUAUGUGUUUGGCCUUUUAGAGAUUUUAGUAACUAUUUUGUCCCAAUUGCUGUACUGCCCUUCCCAAGAAUUCCUUUUGGUGAGCCUUCUGGUUAUGAUUGUUUUGGUUGUUGCAAAUCUGUUUCUAUCUUGUCCUAGUAAACUGGAUAUUAAAAAAACUGCCUCAACCUUCAGGUUCUGUUAUAAUCUAUAGAAUAUCAAAUGUUCAUUAGUUUUAGCUACUUCAAAUAAAUGGUGGUGGGAGGCAGAUUUCUAGAAUGUGAUUUUGUUUUAGUUAGUUGAAUGUGAUUUUCAGUUUGUGAGGAAUUGAAUGGUCUCUGUCUUUUGCAGGAAAGGAGAUUAUUAUAGGCAUCUUAUAGAAUUCAAAACUGGUAAUGAGAGGAAAGAAAUUGCUGAUCAGUCACUGGAGGCAUAUGAGGUAUAAUUUUGGUGUACUUCUGUGAAAACUACACACAGGCACACACGUAUGAUUCUAGUUAAACAUUUUGCUCAAACAGACCAACCCAACCCGACCCGACCGACACUUGAUUGGGUUGGGUUGGGUUGGGUUGGGUUUCAACAUUUACUUGGGUUGGGUUGGGUUGAUCUUCGAUCAAACCAACCACGUUGGAUUGGGUUAGGGUUGGGGUAAAAAUCGACCCAACCCAACC